CAGAACGAUGUCAUCAAUACCGGGCCGGGGCGACAGGAGUUGUGAUUAAUCCUUUGGGAAUGGAAAAUAUCUUUUCUUUUCCCAAAAAAAGCGAGAGUGCAUCAACGGUCAACCAACACGAUUAAACCCUCCACAUUCUUCUCCAGUCUUUAUCUCCGGCAGCCGCCAAUCUCUUCAGAAACAGGCACAAAAAGCUGGCACUUAUGAUUUUUGAAUACAAAAGCUACAACUUUACUUGUGUCUUUUGCUUCCAUUAUGUGUUCCCAGUUCAACUGGCAACUACCUGGUAUCUGACCACCAUCACCAUCAACAUUCACAACAUAAUUCUUGGAAGUAUUAGGUGAUCCGAGCAAGUGCGUAGUCUCUUCUGGGAAGUAAUGAGCUGUAGAACCCCCUGGAUGCUUUGUCAUAAUCAUUCUUUCUAGCUUCAUGGCUACUUCUCUCAUGGUAGGCCUUUCCUCCCCUUUUACCCUCAAACAUCUUCUUGCAAGAUGGGCCACAUUUUCUAUUACUCUCUGGUCAAUAUCUCCUUCAUUAAUAAUGUCAUCAUAUAGAAUUUGGUUCAAGUGACCAUCUUCCA
This is a long non-coding RNA of Rosa chinensis, 580 nucleotides long. RefSeq lists it as uncharacterized. The record is from RefSeq and is a predicted model, not a curated record. The transcript has 3 exons. Lineage: Eukaryota; Viridiplantae; Streptophyta; Magnoliopsida; Rosales; Rosaceae.